ACAGUGGACGCGAGCAUCUGUGGCCAAGUUUUUAAGGGCGCACGGUGGAUGCCUUGGCACCAGGAACCGAUGAAGGACGUGGGAGGCCGCGAUAGGCCCCGGGGAGCUGUCAACCGAGCUUUGAUCCGGGGGUGUCCGAAUGGGGAAACCCGGCAGUCGUCAUGGGCUGUCACCCGCUGCUGAACACAUAGGCAGUGUGGAGGGAACGCGGGGAAGUGAAACAUCUCAGUACCCGCAGGAAGAGAAAACAACCGUGAUUCCGGGAGUAGUGGCGAGCGAAACUGGAUGAGGCCAAACCGUAUGUGUGUGAUACCCGGCAGGGGUUGCGCAUGCGGGGUUGUGGGAGCUUUCUUGAUCGGUCUGCCGGCCGGUCGGUGAGUCAGAAAUUGUUGAUGUAGGCGAAGGGCAUGCGAAAGGCCCGGCGUAGAGGGUAAGACCCCCGUAGCUGAAAUGUCAGCAACUUGCUUGAGAGCCACCCAAGUAGCACGGGGCCCGAGAAAUCCCGUGUGAAUCUGGCGGGACCACCCGCUAAGCCUAAAUAUUCCCUGGUGACCGAUAGCGGAUAGUACCGUGAGGGAAUGGUGAAAAGUACCGCGGGAGCGGAGUGAAAUAGUACCUGAAACCGUGUGCCUACAAGCCGUGGGAGCGUCGCGCAGAGACUUGUCUCUGCGUCGUGACUGCGUGCCUUUUGAAGAAUGAGCCUGCGAGUUUGCGGUGUGUUGCGAGGUUAACCCGUGUGGGGAAGCCGUAGCGAAAGCGAGUCCGAAGAGGGCGGUGGAGUAGCACGCUCAAGACCCGAAGCGGAGUGAUCUAGCCAUGGGCAGGUUGAAGCGGAGGUAAGACUUCGUGGAGGACCGAACCCACCAGGGUUGAAAACCUGGGGGAUGACCUGUGGUUAGGGGUGAAAGGCCAAUCAAACUCCGUGAUAGCUGGUUCUCCCCGAAAUGCAUUUAGGUGCAGCGUCGUGUGUUUCUUGCCGGAGGUAGAGCACUGGAUAGGCGAUGGGCCCUACCGGGUUACUGACCUUAGCCAAACUCCGAAUGCCGGUAAGUGAGAGCGCGGCAGUGAGACUGUGGGGGAUAAGCUCCAUGGUCGAGAGGGAAACAGCCCAGAGCAUCGACUAAGGCCCCUAAGCGUACGCUAAGUGGGAAAGGAUGUGGAGUCGCAGAGACAACCAGGAGGUUGGCUUAGAAGCAGCCAUCCUUGAAAGAGUGCGUAAUAGCUCACUGGUCAAGUGAUUCCGCGCCGACAAUGUAGCGGGGCUCAAGCGUACCGCCGAAGUUGUGUCAAUCCAGCAUUAACCCCUAACGGGGGCUGGGUUGGGUAGGGGAGCGUCGUGUGCCGGGUGAAGCAGCCGUGUAAGCGAGUUGUGGAUGGUUCACGAGUGAGAAUGCAGGCAUGAGUAGCGAUACACACGUGGGAAACGUGUGCGCCGAUUGACUAAGGGUUCCUGGGUCAAGCUGAUCUGCCCAGGGUAAGUCGGGACCUAAGGCGAGGCCGACAGGCGUAGUCGAUGGACAACCGGUUGAUAUUCCGGUACCCGCUUUGAAGCGCCCAAUAUCGAAUCCUCUGAUGCUAAGGCCGUGAAGCCGCCCCUGAUCUCUUCGGAGUGAGGGGGAGUGGUGGAGCCGCCGGUCCAAGGUGGUAGUAGGUAAGUGAUGGGGUGACGCAGGAAGGUAGUCCAGCCCGGGCGGUGGUUGUCCCGGGGUAAGGGUGUAGGCCGUGUGGUAGGUAAAUCCGUCGCACGUUAAGGCUGAGACCUGAUGCCGAGCCGAUUGUGGUGAAGUGGAUGAUCCUAUGCUGUCGAGAAAAGCCUCUAGCGAGUUUCAUGGCGGCCCGUACCCUAAACCGACUCAGGUGGUCAGGUAGAGAAUACCGAGGCGUUCGGGUGAACUAUGGUUAAGGAACUCGGCAAAAUGCCCCCGUAACUUCGGGAGAAGGGGGGCCAUUGCUGGUGAUCACUCUUGCAGUGUGAGCUGGUGGUGGCCGCAGAGACCAGCGAGAAGCGACUGUUUACUAAAAACACAGGUCCGUGCGAAGCCGUAAGGCGAUGUAUACGGACUGACGCCUGCCCGGUGCUGGAACGUUAAGGGGACCGGUUAGCUCCAUUUCGGUGGGGCGAAGCUGAGAACUUAAGCGCCAGUAAACGGCGGUGGUAACUAUAACCAUCCUAAGGUAGCGAAAUUCCUUGUCGGGUAAGUUCCGACCUGCACGAAUGGCGUAACGACUUCUCGACUGUCUCAACCAUAGGCCCGGUGAAAUUGCAUUACGAGUAAAGAUGCUCGUUUCGCGCAGCAGGACGGAAAGACCCCGGGACCUUUACUACAGCUUGAUAUUGGUGUUCGGUUCGGCUUGUGUAGGAUAGGUGGGAGACUGUGAACUCUGGACGCCAGUUCAGGGGGAGUCAUUGUUGAAAUACCACUCUGGUCGUGCUGGAUGUCUAACCUGGGUCCGUGAUCCGGAUCAGGGACAGUGUCUGGUGGGUAGUUUAACUGGGGCGGUUGCCUCCUAAAGGGUAACGGAGGCGCCCAAAGGUUCCCUCAGCCUGGUUGGCAAUCAGGUGUUGAGUGUAAGUGCACAAGGGAGCUUGACUGUGAGACUGACGGGUCGAGCAGGGACGAAAGUCGGGACUAGUGAUCCGGCGGUGGCUUGUGGAAGCGCCGUCGCUCAACGGAUAAAAGGUACCCCGGGGAUAACAGGCUGAUCUUCCCCAAGAGUCCAUAUCGACGGGAUGGUUUGGCACCUCGAUGUCGGCUCGUCGCAUCCUGGGGCUGGAGUCGGUCCCAAGGGUUGGGCUGUUCGCCCAUUAAAGCGGUACGCGAGCUGGGUUUAGAACGUCGUGAGACAGUUCGGUCCCUAUCCGCUGUGCGCGUAGGAGUCUUGAGAAGGGCUGUCCCUAGUACGAGAGGACCGGGACGGACGAACCUCUGGUGUGCCAGUUGUCCUGCCAAGGGCAUGGCUGGUUGGCUACGUUCGGGAGGGAUAACCGCUGAAAGCAUCUAAGCGGGAAGCCUGCUUCGAGAUGAGGGCUCCCACCCACUUGAUGGGUUAAGGCUCCCAGUAGACGACUGGGUUGAUAGGCCAGAUAUGGAAGCCGGGUGACCGGUGGAGUUGACUGGUACUAAUAGGCCGAGGGCUUGUCCUCAGUUG
RNAcentral lists this ribosomal RNA (3150 nucleotides) under Streptomyces sp. NA02950. RNAcentral's name for it is "23S ribosomal RNA". It matches the Rfam family "Bacterial large subunit ribosomal RNA". The record is from RNAcentral. Lineage: Bacteria; Bacillati; Actinomycetota; Actinomycetes; Kitasatosporales; Streptomycetaceae.